UUCCGUGGUGUAGGGGUUAACAUGCCUGCCUGUCACGCAGGAGAUCGCGGGUUCAAAUCCUGCCCCCGCAAU
RNAcentral lists this transfer RNA (72 nucleotides) under Listeria monocytogenes. Its description in RNAcentral is "tRNA-Asp(gtc)". The stretch from base 5 to 64 matches the Rfam family "tRNA", at positions 7 to 64 of the family's 71-position model. Rfam says of the family: Transfer RNA (tRNA) molecules are approximately 80 nucleotides in length. Their secondary structure includes four short double-helical elements and three loops (D, anti-codon, and T loops). The record is from RNAcentral. Lineage: Bacteria; Bacillati; Bacillota; Bacilli; Caryophanales; Listeriaceae.